This 206-nucleotide long non-coding RNA is filed under the name Fukomys damarensis (Damara mole-rat). RNAcentral's name for it is "lncRNA (ENSFDAG00000021747.1)". The record is from RNAcentral. Lineage: Eukaryota; Metazoa; Chordata; Mammalia; Rodentia; Bathyergidae.
AUGAUAUAAAUAGUCUAAUAUUGUUCAACCCUACCUUUAUAAGAUUGUUUCAGUGGAUCUCUGUAUGUCUUGAAGCCUAGAACUGGAUAGAAAGAAGGAGCCCUCAACCAGAUGAAAAACAAACAACGCUACUUACUGGUUCUUUUCUAUUUUAUCAAAUACUCCCAGGAUCUAUUUUGAUGUGCUCACCAGAAGCUUGCAAAUCC